RNAcentral lists this ribosomal RNA (497 nucleotides) under uncultured bacterium. Its description in RNAcentral is "partial 16S ribosomal RNA". It matches the Rfam family "Bacterial small subunit ribosomal RNA", at positions 28 to 507 of the family's 1533-position model. The record is from RNAcentral.
GAUGAACGCUGGCGGCGUGCCUAAUACAUGCAAGUCGAGCGAACAGACGAGGAGCUUGCUCCUCUGACGUUAGCGGCGGACGGGUGAGUAACACGUGGAUAACCUACCUAUAAGACUGGGAUAACUUCGGGAAACCGGAGCUAAUACCGGAUAAUAUAUUGAACCGCAUGGUUCAAUAGUGAAAGACGGUUUUGCUGUCACUUAUAGAUGGAUCCGCGCCGCAUUAGCUAGUUGGUAAGGUAACGGCUUACCAAGGCAACGAUGCGUAACCGACCUGAGAGGGUGAUCGGCCACACUGGAACUGAGACACGGUCCAGACUCCUACGGGAGGCAGCAGUAGGGAAUCUUCCGCAAUGGGCGAAAGCCUGACGGAGCAACGCCGCGUGAGUGAUGAAGGUCUUCGGAUCGUAAAACUCGGUUAUUAGGGAAGAACAAAUGUGUAAGUAACUAUGCACGUCUUGACGGUACCUAAUCAGAAAGCCACGGCUAACUACGUG